Long non-coding RNA from Ochotona princeps (American pika), 279 nucleotides. RefSeq lists it as uncharacterized. Lineage: Eukaryota; Metazoa; Chordata; Mammalia; Lagomorpha; Ochotonidae. The transcript has 3 exons. The record is from RefSeq and is a predicted model, not a curated record.
UAGAAACUGGCAAACAAGGAAUCCCAGUAUCCUGGAAUUAGUAGAUCCAGGAACUCAAAGGUCAUGAAAAACAAUCAGAGACUAGAGCAGGAAGUUGGUGCCUCUGCUGUAUUUCUCCGGCAAACACCACAGAAAUAUUCAAUAUAACAAGGUCUCAGACCUCAGCAAACGCACUGCAGCCAUCUUAUCCCGGAAAUGACCUCGGUUCCGCAGCUGAAAGAGUCGCCCCCACCGAGCAACCAAUAAAGGGACAGGAACAGCUCCUCCCCUGGAGCGGCC